AGUUGGAAGUGGGGAUCUAGGCACCUGCAACUUGCUCACAAUUUCGCAAAGCUUUCCUUCAACUCGUUGCUGAAAGAGCUUUGCUGAAAUCGUGCCAGAUCUAUCUCUUCCAGCUCA
Molecule: microRNA precursor, 117 nt
Filed under: Triops cancriformis
Lineage: Eukaryota; Metazoa; Arthropoda; Branchiopoda; Notostraca; Triopsidae
Description: microRNA tcf-mir-750 precursor
Gene: tcf-mir-750
Source: miRBase by way of RNAcentral